RNAcentral lists this ribosomal RNA (699 nucleotides) under Labrenzia sp. AU110_Ted3_MB. Its description in RNAcentral is "bacterial SSU rRNA". It matches the Rfam family "Bacterial small subunit ribosomal RNA", at positions 92 to 824 of the family's 1533-position model. Lineage: Bacteria; Pseudomonadati; Pseudomonadota; Alphaproteobacteria; Hyphomicrobiales; Stappiaceae. The record is from RNAcentral.
GCAGUGGCAGACGGGUGAGUAACGCGUGGGAAUUUACCGAUUGGUACGGAACAACCCAGAGAAAUUUGGGCUAAUACCGUAUGCGCCCCUUCGGGGGGAAAGAUUUAUCGCCGAUCGAUGAGCCCGCGUUGGAUUAGCUAGAUGGUGGGGUAAAAGCCUACCAUGGCGACGAUCCAUAGCUGGUCUGAGAGGAUGAUCAGCCACACUGGGACUGAGACACGGCCCAGACUCCGACGGGAGGCAGCAGUGGGGAAUAUUGGACAAUGGGGGCAACCCUGAUCCAGCCAUGCCGCGUGAGUGAUGAAGGCCCUAGGGUUGUAAAGCUCUUUCAGUCAUGAGGAUAAUGACGUUAAUGACAGAAGAAGCCCCGGCUAACUUCGUGCCAGCAGCCGCGGGAAUACGAAGGGGGCUAGGGUUGUUCGGAAUCACUGGGCGUAAAGCGCACGUAGGCGGACUUUUAAGUCAGGGGUGAAAUCCCGAGGCUCAACCUCGGAACUGCCUUUGAUACUGGAAGUCUUGAGUUCGAGAGAGGUGAGUGGAACUCCGAGUGUAGAGGUGAAAUUCGUAGAUAUUCGGAAGAACACCAGUGGCGAAGGCGGCUCACUGGCUCGAUACUGACGCUGAGGUGCGAAAGCGUGGGGAGCAAACAGGAUUAGAUACGCUGGUAGUCCACGCCGUAAACGAUGGAAGCUAGCCGUC